GACGAACGCUGGCGGCGUGCUUAACACAUGCAAGUCGAACGGAAAGGCCUCUUUCGGGGGGUACUCGCGUGGCGAACGGGUGAGUAACACGUGAGUAACCUGCCCUUGACUUUGGGAUAACUUCAGGAAACUGGGGCUAAUACAGGAUAGGAGCUCCUGCUGCAUGGUGGGGGUUGGAAAGUUUCGGCGGUUGGGGGUGGACUCGCGGCUUAUCAGCUUGUUGGUGGGGUAGUGGCUUACCAAGGCUUUGACGGGUAGCCGGCCUGAGAGGGUGACCGGCCACAUUGGGACUGAGAUACGGCCCAGACUCCUACGGGAGGCAGCAGUGGGGAAUAUUGCACAAUGGGUGGGAGCCUGAUGCAGCAACGCCGUGUGCGGGAUGACGGCCUUCGGGUUGUAAACCGCUUUCGCUCAUGACGAAGCUUUGUGUGACGGUAGUGGGUAAAGAAGCACCGGCUAACUACGUG
Molecule: ribosomal RNA, 467 nt
Filed under: uncultured bacterium
Lineage: Bacteria
Description: partial 16S ribosomal RNA
Rfam family: Bacterial small subunit ribosomal RNA
Source: RNAcentral